Molecule: non-coding RNA, 75 nt
Organism: Myotis brandtii (Brandt's bat)
Lineage: Eukaryota; Metazoa; Chordata; Mammalia; Chiroptera; Vespertilionidae
Source: Rfam
GAGACACCCUAAUGGGACAGGACUUGCUUCAGUGGGGCUUUGGUGCUUACUGAGUCUGCCUCUGAGUGUGUCACU